AAUUCACGGUCGAUUCAGCAACCAGUGAAGAUCGUAUCCGUCUAUUCUCACGGAGAGCACGCCGUAAGUCGAAAUGUGUGGCCGCGGGAACGGUGGUAAGCGCCAGGGGAGAGUGCUAAGAGUCGCCUUACCGUCCACGACAACAGGCACGUCACCGCCAAUCGGCUGGCGCGCCAAGGAACUUUCAAGAGAACCUCCGGGCUCGUCUACGAAAUGCGUGGUCCGCAGGAACUGAGUUAAGAGGCCGGGGAAGAGUUACCGUACCGUCCGACAACACCCACGGCACCACCAAACUAGCCAUCUGGCUCGCCAAGGAACUUUCAAGGGAACUUCCCCCGGGCUCGGCUACGAAAUUUGGGCCGCCGGAAAGAAUACAAGCGGCUGGGGAAGACAGGUGAUAAGAGCUACCGUACCGUCCGCGACAACGUCCACGACACCGCCAAACUAGCCGGCUGGCUCGCCAAGAGGCCGCAAAGGUAGCCUCCGGACUCGUCUUCGAGGAGAUUGGCUGUAUUUUUCAAGUGGUGGGUGAGGAAUGUGACGCGUGCGUCCCCGAACCGACUCCGUGUUACACGUACAUACGCAGUACCUGAGGUACCGUCAAGACUCGACUGAUGACUGGAUUUGAAUCACCACGCACACGGAAUGUGAUGCGUGCGUGCGGACCUGCCCUACGUUAACACCAACUGGCGACACGGGAUCUUACUGUUGUUCAUGGCGACCGGACCAGGAAGAACGCAUUGUCCAUGCCCAGAACAGUCGGUGUCCGUGUGUGCGGCCUGCUAGAGGAACCAGUGGAUGUCACCUGGUAGAGCGCAUAAGGAAAUCUUGCUACGUGCCCAUUUUCCAUGUAGCAUAGGCAGGCUGUGUUGAUGUUAUUUUUAGAAAAGGCAGUCGGCACAUGAUUCGUAGUGAGGCGGAAAUGUCAAAUUUUCUAGCGCAAUACGAAGGAUGUUAUUUGGUGAACUUAGCGUAAAGCGUUAUCGGAACAAGCAAACCCAUGCAGACCGUUUUAGCAGCCUUUUGUUAGCAACGUCAUUUUCCCAAAAUAUAUUAAGCUAUUCCAGUACAGAACUCGAGAUGACUAGCACUAAAUUUUCUUGUUUCUAUGCCUUUGCACUGACUAAGACGUUUGCUCUCUAUUUGAGCCGUUUUUGAUUCACGUAUUUUGCUUCCGUUCUUGUACAACAGUGGUCAACGGUUUAGAAUUUAGCAAAUGUUGGUAUUGCCGGUGUCAUUGGUGUUGAGGUAGGUUGGGGUCUUUUGUACUUGAAGCCCUGUAGAAAGUUGGCUGCUGAAGGCUUAGGCUGACGUUCGGACACUUAACAUCGCGUGCUAAAGCACACACGCACAUGCACGCACACACUAACACUACAUCUAACAAUGGCGCCUUAACGUCUACGACCACCACCCAGCACAAUAAGCCAAUAACAUAUUAAUACACUAACAUUGGGAACAAAUGUCUCGGCCUUAAAGAAAAAAGCAGCAAAAAAAAACUUUCCACGGGACUACAAGUACGGAAGGCUUCAGGUUAUCCCCACCAAUGCACUGAUGAUAUCAACAUUUGCUAAUUCUGAACUGUUCGCCACUGUUGUCCUAGAAUAGAGGCAAAAUAUGUGAAAACACACGAGCUUAGAGAGUAAAGGUCUUUUGUUUUCAAAUGUGGUCUUUAUAUAUAGUUGUAAGCUUUGCUUAAGUCAUUGACAGUUCUGUACUUUUAGCGAUGUGUUGCAUUUCCAUGCAGUUAUGAGUGCAUGUGAGACUAUUGUUUUCAUAGCUGAUAUGUAAUUCAUUAUUCAGCUGUAGGUUGUGUCACGUAUCGCUAGCUAUUAUGCUUGACUUGGUCUGCUUGUGUUUCUUGUUCGUGGCCUUUGUAGACCGCUUUACUGUUGUUUCAUAAUCUUGUAAAUAAAGCAUUGACCUUGAUUACGUGUACCUAAAUUUUGUCUUAGUGGAAUUUGUCAGGCAAAAAGGAAGAAGCAAACUAAACGUAUCCGAAUGAGAUACUGUAUGUAAACGCAGUGUAGAUAGACGACUGUUUUGUUGUUCUGAUAGGAUCUACGCUUGUUCGUUGUCGACUACCUCUGUCGUAUUUUCAGUCCAGUAUCUGAAAAUAAAUGAAUAUUAGUUGUGUGUCCAUUCAUUUACACUGAAAGCAGUGAAUAAAAGAGCCUUUUGCUCUCACUUUGCUUUUAUAUUUCUUGUGUUUCGCUUCAUUCUUGUACAA
Molecule: long non-coding RNA, 2227 nt
Organism: Branchiostoma floridae (Florida lancelet)
Lineage: Eukaryota; Metazoa; Chordata; Leptocardii; Amphioxiformes; Branchiostomatidae
Exons: 3
Source: RefSeq, a predicted model, not a curated record